CUGCUUCAGGAAGAAAGGGCAGUUCUUGGAUCACCGUAGCCUGCUUGACUUCUCCAAUCUCAAAUUAUUCUGCUUUUGACAUAGGCAGCAGGCUAGCAGCUGGCACUUGUGAGAGCUGAGGAGGGAUUGUUUUCAGGACAACAGGAAAGAAGAGACUGACAAUGCAGAUGGAAUGGAAGAAAAUGACAAGUGAUUAAACAGCUGUAGAUGAAUGGAGAUGCAGCUUAAGAGAUUGACUGUCGCCUGCUGAAUGGAGAGAUGGAAGGAAAGAUUGCGUUCAUGUGCACCAGGAUUGCAAAUCCCACCCUCCCCCAGCAGAUCUUAAAUUGUGUUUGUUAUUUAUUUUGAGCCUUCCCAUGUAUAAGCCUUCACACAGCUCUGUACUGCACCUUUAUAGCCCCAGCUACUAUUUCUACCUCCCAGAACCUCUGAUCUUGUUUUCUGGGCAGAGAUCCUACAAAAUAAAACUUACGUGGUAAAACAA
Molecule: long non-coding RNA, 484 nt
Organism: Lagopus leucura (white-tailed ptarmigan)
Lineage: Eukaryota; Metazoa; Chordata; Aves; Galliformes; Phasianidae
Exons: 2
Source: RefSeq, a predicted model, not a curated record